GACGAACGCUGGCGGCGUGCUUAACACAUGCAAGUCGAACGGAAAGGCCCUGCUUUUGUGGGGUGCUCGAGUGGCGAACGGGUGAGUAACACGUGAGUAACCUGCCCUUGACUUUGGGAUAACUUCAGGAAACUGGGGCUAAUACCGGAUAGGAGCUCCUGCUGCAUAGUGGGGGUUGGAAAGUUUCGGCGGUUGGGGAUGGACUCGCGGCUUAUCAGCUUGUUGGUGGGGUAGUGGCUUACCAAGGCUUUGACGGGUAGCCGGCCUGAGAGGGUGACCGGCCACAUUGGGACUGAGAUACGGCCCAGACUCCUACGGGAGGCAGCAGUGGGGAAUAUUGCACAAUGGGCGGAAGCCUGAUGCAGCAACGCCGCGUGCGGGAUGACGGCCUUCGGGUUGUAAACCGCUUUCGCCUGCGACGAAGCGUGAGUGACGGUAAUGGGUAAAGAAGCACCGGCUAACUACGUG
RNAcentral lists this ribosomal RNA (468 nucleotides) under uncultured bacterium. RNAcentral describes it as "partial 16S ribosomal RNA". It matches the Rfam family "Bacterial small subunit ribosomal RNA", at positions 28 to 507 of the family's 1533-position model. The record is from RNAcentral.